RNAcentral lists this ribosomal RNA (1161 nucleotides) under Triticum aestivum (bread wheat). Its description in RNAcentral is "partial small subunit ribosomal RNA". The record is from RNAcentral. Lineage: Eukaryota; Viridiplantae; Streptophyta; Magnoliopsida; Poales; Poaceae.
AUGAGCCUGAACUCUGAAGAAGGUUUGAUGUGCAAAGAUAUAUCGCACUCGUCGCAAUCUAGUGCCCCUUCCCCGGCCCAUCCCCUGAGCCCAUGCCGCUACGAGUGCGUCUCCACGCUCAGGGGGCACUCCUCCUACGUCUCUGGCCUCGCCGUCGACGGCAACUCGCUCUACGUCGCCUCGUCGGACGGACACAUCAGGCUGUGGCCACUGGACAUGGGCAGCACGACCGUGCAACAGGGGGGCUCUGUUGUUGCCGUCACCAAUAGCUCCAUAAAGUGCCUCAUGGCCACCAGCGAUGGUCUUGUCAGCGCCCACCAGGACGGCAAGAUCAGGGUGUGGCAGCACGCCGUCCGGCGGAAAGGCGGGAGCAGCCACCUCGCCCUGCACGGCGUGCUGCCGACCACCGCGGACUGCCUGCGCACGUUCCUGUUCCCCAAGAACUACGUCGACGUCCGGCGGCAGACGAGUCGCACCUGGGUGCACCACGUGGACGCGGUCACCGCGCUCGCGCUGUCCCCGGACGGCGGGUACAUGUACUCCGUGUCCUGGGACCGGAGCCUCAAGGUGUGGCGCCUACCCAGCCUCCGCUGCAUGGAGUCUAUCGCCCCGGCCCACAACGACGCCAUCAACGCCAUCGCCGUGUCGUCGGACGGGCAUGUCUACACCGGGUCGGCCGACCGGACGAUCAAGGCGUGGAUGCGCAACCCGGGGCAGAAGAGGCUCGCGCUGGUCGGCACCAUGGAGCGGCACAGGUCGGCGGUGAACGCGCUGGCGAUGGGCGUCGGCGGGCUGGUUCUCUACUCCGGCUCGUGCGACCGGUCCGUCGUCGUGUGGGAGGGCUUUGACGCCGGAGGCGCGGCGGCCACGAGGACUCUCAGGGGGCACGUCGAGGCGGUGCUGUGCCUGGCCGCCGCCGGCGACGUGGCGUGCAGCGGGUCCGCGGACAGGACGGUGAGGGUGUGGCGGCGGGGAGCGGAGGGCGAGUACUCCUGCUCGGCCGUCCUGGACGGCCAUGGCGCUGCCGUGAAGAGCCUGGCAUUGGUGUUGACGGGAGGCGACCGAUGCAGCGAGCGGGAGGAGAGUUCGCGCGGCGGCUGCUCCGCUCUGGUUUGCAGCGGUUCGUUGGACUGCGACGUGAAGAUCUGGAGGGUGACUUGA